AUUCUACCCAUGCGGGGAAGGAUGAGAAGCUUCGACUAAGGUUCGAUUCGAGCGCAGCGAGAAAGCGUUGCCGCAGGCAACGA
RNAcentral lists this small RNA (83 nucleotides) under Salmonella enterica subsp. enterica serovar Newport. RNAcentral's name for it is "partial RtT sRNA". It matches the Rfam family "RtT RNA", at positions 1 to 82 of the family's 130-position model. From Rfam's summary of the family: This family represents a bacterial cis-regulatory element known as RtT RNA. The exact function of RtT is unknown although it is thought that it may be involved in changing the cellular response in relation to amino acid starvation. Lineage: Bacteria; Pseudomonadati; Pseudomonadota; Gammaproteobacteria; Enterobacterales; Enterobacteriaceae. RNAcentral also lists the same sequence under 1 other name. The record is from RNAcentral.